Molecule: ribosomal RNA, 253 nt
Filed under: uncultured bacterium
Lineage: Bacteria
Description: partial 16S ribosomal RNA
Rfam family: Bacterial small subunit ribosomal RNA
Source: RNAcentral
UACGAAGGGGGCUAGCGUUGCUCGGAAUCACUGGGCGUAAAGGGUGCGUAGGCGGUUCUUUAAGUCAGGGGUGAAAUCCUGGAGCUCAACUCCAGAACUGCCUUUGAUACUGAAGAUCUUGAGUUCGGGAGAGGUGAGUGGAACUGCGAGUGUAGAGGUGAAAUUCGUAGAUAUUCGGAAGAACACCAGUGGCGAAGGCGACUUACUGGACACAUAUUGACGCUGAGGUGCGAAAGCGUGGGGAGCAAACAGG